GCUGAGAAGAAAAUAUUUGGAAAAGAAAAUAAGAGUGUUUUUUUUGUAAAUAGCACAAUUGAAUUUCACAUAUUUUUUUUAAGAAAUCAUGUGUCAAUAAAAGAACAUAGCUUUUAUAUUAAAAAUGUAGUCGAUAUGUUUUUUUUCUUUUUUAAUUGGUUUAAAACGCUAUUUUUAUAGAGUGUUCUAAAUUCUUUCAAAUAUAUUUAAAAAAAUUGAUUUUUUAACUAAAUAUCAAC
This 239-nucleotide long non-coding RNA is filed under the name Lathyrus oleraceus (garden pea). RNAcentral's name for it is "Pisum sativum (pea) long non-coding RNA (PSAT_LNC004006)". The record is from RNAcentral. Lineage: Eukaryota; Viridiplantae; Streptophyta; Magnoliopsida; Fabales; Fabaceae.